GACGAACGCUGGCGGCGUGCCUAAUACAUGCAAGUAGAACGCUGAAGGAGGAGCUUGCUUCUCUGGAUGAGUUGCGAACGGGUGAGUAACGCGUAGGUAACCUGCCUGGUAGCGGGGGAUAACUAUUGGAAACGAUAGCUAAUACCGCAUAAGAGUAGAUGUUGCAUGACAUUUGCUUAAAAGGUGCAAUUGCAUCACUACCAGAUGGACCUGCGUUGUAUUAGCUAGUUGGUGAGGUAACGGCUCACCAAGGCGACGAUACAUAGCCGACCUGAGAGGGUGAUCGGCCACACUGGGACUGAGACACGGCCCAGACUCCUACGGGAGGCAGCAGUAGGGAAUCUUCGGCAAUGGACGGAAGUCUGACCGAGCAACGCCGCGUGAGUGAAGAAGGUUUUCGGAUCGUAAAGCUCUGUUGUAAGAGAAGAACGAGUGUGAGAGUGGAAAGUUCACACUGUGACGGUAUCUUACCAGAAAGGGACGGCUAACUACGUGCCAGCAGCCGCGGUAAUACGUAGGUCCCGAGCGUUGUCCGGAUUUAUUGGGCGUAAAGCGAGCGCAGGCGGUUAGAUAAGUCUGAAGUUAAAGGCUGUGGCUUAACCAUAGUACGCUUUGGAAACUGUUUAACUUGAGUGCAAGAGGGGAGAGUGGAAUUCCAUGUGUAGCGGUGAAAUGCGUAGAUAUAUGAAGGAACACCGGUGGCGAAAGCGGCUCUCUGGCUUGUAACUGACGCUGAGGCUCGAAAGCGUGGGGAGCAAACAGG
This 763-nucleotide ribosomal RNA is filed under the name uncultured Streptococcus sp. Its description in RNAcentral is "bacterial SSU rRNA". It matches the Rfam family "Bacterial small subunit ribosomal RNA", at positions 28 to 776 of the family's 1533-position model. The record is from RNAcentral. Lineage: Bacteria; Bacillati; Bacillota; Bacilli; Lactobacillales; Streptococcaceae.